GACGAACGCUGGCGGCGUGCCUAAUACAUGCAAGUCGAGCGGACAGACGGGAGCUUGCUCCCUGAUGUUAGCGGCGGACGGGUGAGUAACACGUGGGUAACCUGCCUGUAAGACUGGGAUAACUCCGGGAAACCGGGGCUAAUACCGGAUGGUUGUCUGAACCGCAUGGUUCGGACAUGAAAGGUGGCUUCGGCUACCACUUACAGAUGGACCCGAGGCGCGUUAGCUAGGUGGUGAGGUAACGGCUCAACAAGGCAACGAUGCGUAGCCGGCCUGAGAGGGUGGUCGGCCACACUGGGAAUGAGACACGGCCCAGACUCCUAAGGGAGGCAGCAGGAGGGAAACUUCCGACAAGGACGAAAGUCUGACGGAGCAACGCCGCGGGAGUGAUGAAGGGUUUCGGAUCGUAAAGCUCUGUUGUUAGGGAAGAAAAAGCGGCGUUCAAAUAGGGCGGCACCUUGACGGUACCUAAACAGAAAGCCACGGCUAACUACGUG
This 497-nucleotide ribosomal RNA is filed under the name uncultured bacterium. RNAcentral's name for it is "partial 16S ribosomal RNA". It matches the Rfam family "Bacterial small subunit ribosomal RNA", at positions 28 to 507 of the family's 1533-position model. The record is from RNAcentral.